Molecule: long non-coding RNA, 1433 nt
Organism: Apteryx owenii (little spotted kiwi)
Lineage: Eukaryota; Metazoa; Chordata; Aves; Apterygiformes; Apterygidae
Source: Ensembl
CUCUGCUUUCCAGCCCCCUCUCGGCGAUCCGGCAGAGGAAAGGGCUGGCAAAUGGGAAACGCGGUGAGUCCGGCCGCCCUGAUGCACCCGAGGGUGCCCGGCGUCCUCCGGCAGGGCCCCCGAGACCUGCCACGAGGUGCGUGGGGUCUCAGCGCGGCCCCCCCCCCCCUUCCCAAAAACCCGCUCAGAGCACCCGCUCGCCUCCCUCCCUCCACUCAGGCAAGCCGGAUGCUGACGAUGUCAAAGCUCGAGCCGUGCAGGAGAUGAUGGACCGGAUAAAGAGCGGGGUGGUCCUGAGGCCGGCGAAGGAGCGGGCGCCCCCGGGCCAGGGUCCGUCCGCAGCGGCCGGCAAGCGGAAGAGCGCCGCGAUGGAGCUGCGGAGCAUCCUGGGCACCAUGAGGAAGACGAGCAGGACGCCGAGCUGGCGGAAGAGCAGCGUGAAGGGCAGGGACAGCCAGCUGGACUCCAUCCUGCAGCGGCGACGCAAGGCGCUGGACUCCUCCGCGUCCGCUCCGGCCUCGCUGCCCGGCUCCGAGCCAGCUGCCACCGCCGCCGGGAGCCCCGCGCAGGCUCCGGGUGCGGGGAGCCCUUCUCGCCCUGGAGACGGCGCCGUGCGCGCGGCUCUGUCCACCAGGAGCUCGCAGGAGAACGGCGACGCGGUCUGCUUCCGACCCAGGUCAGCGGGAAGCCUCCCAAAGAACCGGCCCACCGUCCGCUUGGUUGAGGGAAGGUUCAAGCCGGCGUAGAAGGAGCCACCCGAAAGCCAGCCCUUCCGCAAAAACGCGUCUGUAAGAAGUCGGAGGAGAAGAGCAACCUGUCCGUACCGCUUAGGGAGACCACGAAAAGCAAAGAAACAGCCACCCCGCAAGCUGCCGCCUCCCCAGGCGUCUCUGCCUGGACGUGUCCUCCAGGGCUGCAGGAUGGUGCCACCUCUCUGCCAGCCCAGCAGCUCAAAAAAAAAAAUCACCUCCGGAGCAGAAGUUUGCUAGAGAUUCGAGAAAGUACUUCUUUCGUCUGAUGGGCAGCGUUCGGAGCAGCGAGGAGAUGACGAGAGCUGAAGAAGCAAGUCUGAAGCAAGGUCACCGCAGGGCUCAUCCGGGUGGGAGAGGACAAACUUGAGCUGCUUCUCCCUAAACACGGAUAAAUGCGCUGGAAAGGCAAGGCAGGGACAACGGCAGGCGGGCGUUGCCUUGAGGACAUCAUCUGCUGCGGGCUGUUACGCCGGUUUUCUAACCACCUGUAUCCUCCUGCGCUUUAAUUAAAAGCGAGGCCACGCUGGGCUCCCCCACGCCCCGCGUUUGCUUGCUCCGUCUCAGCUGUCCUGCGGGGUAAUUUGGCCGGGCAAGGGACUGGGGGGCCACCACCGUGGCGGACGGGGUGGUGGGGAUGGGAUGGGAUGGAGCACGUCGCGGGCAGCGCCCCGACUCCUCCGC